CUCUUAUUUCUUUAAUUAAUUGUACAAAUAUUUGAGUGUGAAAAUGCAUCUUUUGUUUCUUAAAUCCCUUAUUUAAUUCCACAUUUUUUUCUUUAGAGCCAGAUCUCACACUAAAACUCUAGUACUAUUUUCCUCUGAAUUAUGAUGGAGGAAAAUAACUCAGCAACUGAUUCCAAUUUGAGCGUUCCUAUCAUAGACCUCAUACACAACAAUAUCAAUCGUGUAGAGGUAAUUAACCAAAUUAAAGAUGCAUGCAAAAAAGUGGAGAUUUUUCCAAGUGAGAUUAAUCUUGAAAUUUCUGUUGAUGUCUUGGAUGAGAUGAUUGAUGGAACAUGUAGAUUUCAUGAACAAGAUAUUGAGUUUAAAUCUGGUUUGGAGUCAGUUCCGGUAUCAAGUGGUUCCAGUCCCCUACUAUCGCAGUUGCGGGGGAUCGAACUGUGGUCCUCCCACAUCUUGUUAUGUUUGCUCGAUCAUUUUAUUAAAUUUGUUUAAAAUAAUUUUACACCGACCAUAUUAAUAAAUUAAAUUUUUAUACUCUCUCCGAACACAAAUAUAAGCAAAAGUGCAUUUUUUAGAUUCAUGGAAUAAUGGAUGUAAAGUGCAUUUUUUCUUAUAUUUGUGUCCGGAGAGAGUAUGAAAUAUGCAUUUAAGCAGUUAUACCAGAUUUUUAGUCAAAAAAUAAAAAGUUAUAGCAGAUUUAAGAAAAAAAUAAAGAGUCAUACUUAAAAAUUAAUUAGCCUAUGACAAAUCUAGAUCUUAAGAAUUUUUAUCAAGUCAAAUUUAGACCUUUCUUUCUAGCUAUUCAUACCCCCCUAUUUUUCAUUCAUGCAAACCAUGUGGUAAACAAGUUAAAUUUGCUUUGUCUUUAUGUAAUAUUUUUCUCACUUUGUAUGUUAAAUUUCUUCUUUCUUUUUGUUCUUGACGGUUUCGUUUCCAUAGUGAGGCUUCAUCCAUAUUUUUUUUUAUUCAAUUAAAAAGUCUCACACAAUCCAUUAAAAUCCAUUCAAAGAAAGAAUCCAUUCAAAUCUAUAUAUUUUUGAAUACUACAAGACAUUUUAUAAAUCAUGAGAAAUCUUAAUUGAAUACCAACAGAUUUCGUUGGAUUGAAAAAAAAAUCUUGAUUGUCUUAAUUGAAUACCACGAGAUUUAUUUACAUUUUAUAAAAGUCUUGAUUGAAUACCUCAAGACAUUUUUAUUAUAAAAAAGUCUUUUAAAAUCCAUUGAAAUCUCAAUUCAAUACACCCAAAUAACAAUCAAUAAAAAUUAUUCAAUAUUAAUAGUUUUACACUAUUUAUUUUUUUAGGCAAAAGUUUUACACUAUAAGAAACCAUAAAAUAUCAUAAAUAUGGAAACUUGGUCAUAUGAUAUCAAAAUUAUAUUUUGUUUAUGCUGUUGUUAUUUUGGUGGGAAGACUUUGGUUGCCAACCAUGGUUUUCAUGGCUGUGAGUAGUUUAAUUUCAUUUCUUGUUAUGGUUAUCUUCUUUGAAAAAUGAUUAAUUGAUUUUUAUGGUUACGGUUUUGGGAUUAAGUCUUAAUUGAUUUUUAGGGUUAGGGUUUUGGGAUUAAUUUCUAUAUUCUUUAUUGUAGAGAUUGUAGAUAUUGUAGAUGAUGGUUACUACUAUUGCGUUGUUAUGUCUGGCCAACGCACGGCAUAACCCUGUUUUAUAAACAGGGCUAUGUAACAUCUUGUUAUGUUUGGUCGAGCAUUUUAUUAAAUUAACAAGACAGGGUCUGUAAUCAUGUUGUGAAUUCAAUGUCAAAAUAUAUAUAGCUUAGAAA
RNA transcript from Trifolium pratense (red clover), 1779 nucleotides. It is a transcript of the gene named deacetoxyvindoline 4-hydroxylase-like, with no coding region annotated. The transcript has 2 exons. Lineage: Eukaryota; Viridiplantae; Streptophyta; Magnoliopsida; Fabales; Fabaceae. The record is from RefSeq and is a predicted model, not a curated record.